GUCGAGGACAGUUCAGAAGAGUAACAACUCUGCCAUUCACAGACUGAGCCCAAGCUGAAGAUGCAUGAAUGGCAAAGGAAUUUCCAUAGUAGUUAGCAGUUGUCCAAUACUGUCUGGUAGGCAUGGAGAUAACUUCUGAACAUCCUCUUGCAAAUAUGGAAAGAUAAGUAUGGAAGGAAAUAUGGGAAAAAAUUAAGAAGCAUAACAAAAGGCCAUUUGAGCUUUUUUUGGUAAUUUCCUGGACCUGAAAUUGUCAUUACUACCUUAUCUGCCUCAUUGAAGACAUCUCCAUCAGCAAGAAGAGAAGAAGCAAGACACAAGCUGCAUCCAGUAGAACCAGCUUCCAGGCUGUUCUUGACUCUGCCAAAGCACAGAAGAAAGAUGGAAUCACUCUAUGCUGCUGUAUAAUGAUCUGGGAAAGCUGAUGGCCUCUCCUGGAAAGAUUUGCCACAGCAUCAUGAUGACUGGAAUAUCAGAAGUUGGGGAAUUAUCCUUGGAGCCUUUGGUUACUUGCAAACUGUGCUUAUCUGAAUAUUCCCUGGAUAAAAUGACUUCUCUGCAAGACUGCAGCUGCAUCUUUUGUACAUCGUGCCUAAAACAAUAUAUGCAGUUAGCCAUUCGGGAAGGUUGCGGUUCUCCCAUCACUUGUCCAGACAUGGUGUGCUUAAGCCGGGGGACUCUGCAAGAAACUGAGAUUUCCAGCUUAGUACCUGCUGAUCAAUUUCAGUUAUACCAGCGACUGAAAUUUGAAAGAGAAGUGCAUCUGGAUCCACUAAGAACCUGGUGCCCCUCUGCUGACUGUCAGACUGUGUGCCAAAUUGAACUCAGUGAAUCUGAAUUACCAGUGCCUGUAAAGUGCCAGGCUUGCUACUUGACGUUCUGCUCAUCAUGCAAAGAACCCUGGCAUCUAGACAGAUCGUGCCUGGAAAGCCAUCUUCUUGUAGUACCAAAUGAGCAAGGAGCACUUAUCCGGACUGACACAGACGCUCCAAUUAAACAGUGCCCAAUUUGCCGCAUCCAUAUAGAACGGAAUGAAGGCUGUGCUCAAAUGAUGUGCAAGAACUGCAAGCACACAUUUUGCUGGUAUUGUCUUCAAAAUCUGGAUAAUGAUAUCUUCUUAAGGCAUUAUGACAAAGGUCCUUGCCGAAACAAACUGGGCCAUUCCCGUGCCUCUGUUAUGUGGAACAGAACACAGGUUGUUGGGAUUCUUGUAGGCCUGGGUAUCAUUGCUCUGGUGACCUCACCCCUACUGCUCCUGGCCUCUCCAUGCAUUAUCUGCUGUGUCUGCAAAUCCUGCCGAGGGAAGAAAAAGAAACAUAUCCCAUCGACAACUUAAAGCUUUCCACCUGUUAUGUAUGAACACUUACUUAAUCUGUAUCAGGGAGAGGACAUGAGGGCUCAUCUUGGAUGCUAGUGCUUUAACAACCAAUUCUUCCCUUUGCCAACUUCUGUAAAAAGUGCCUACUGUAACACAGGACACCGUGUUGUUUGCAAGUUGGUACUUCACCAGUGGGUGGAAUGUCUGCUCUAGAGGUGGAUAUUUUGAGGGUCCUUCAGAAUGGUCUACAGCUGUUUCAGUCUUGCAGAUGAAGAUGAAAUUCCCCUCACAUUCUGGACAGGUAUCCAUUUUAGAGCACUUUAAUUUUAUAUCUCCCAAAGCAGUACUACCAUUAAAUGAGGAAAUACGAGUAAACAAUCAAGUCCGUUUUUCAGAAAUCUCUGGUUAUUGUAAGUUUUAGCUUUCCAAAGGCUAAGGGAAUUUUAUUAUUUUUAAAUGUUAAAUUUUUAAAUGACAAACCCGAACCUGAAAAGUGAGAAGUAAUAGAAAUGAAGUAUUGUAUGUAACAGGAUUCUCAUUAAUACGCAUUUUACUAAAAGCCUCAAUAACAAUGACAUGAAGGUAUUGCUGCAGAAACCAAGCUCCUCAGGCCAAGCAGGUUUCUUGAUAUGCCAAACAGCUUUACAUUCAAACUCAGGUUAAGUUGUGGAUGUAAAUUAUUUCAAGUGCAUUGUAAACCAUGAAUGUCCAGGUGUGAAGCUGUGGCGUGAGAUGUGGCAAGUUAUGGUGACUCAUGGUGGGGACAACUCCUUGAAAUGAUGCUCAAUUCCUUACUCGAUGUAAGAGAAGUGUUGCUGCUCAUAACACUAGACAAGAAGAAUUUUUUCCUCGGUUGAGCUACCAUCCAACUCUACUGUACAAUACUGUACUCUCCAGCAUUGAAUUUCUGCUACCUUGUUCCCUGCCUCAGGCCUCUAUACUGCAAUGGUGCCAGAGAAUUCUGCUUAUGACAGUAGGCUGUGUGUUUACUAAAAAGGUGAAUAUGCGAUACUUAAAUAAGACCUCUGUAACCAUGGAACCCAUGUCUGUACUUUACCCAUGCCUGGGAAAAAAUGGUCUCUCUAGAAAUUUGCUAGGUUCUUCAGAACAUUCUAUGGUAUGUUUUUCUGGAAGUUACCAUAUAGUUGCUUCAGAAGACCUAGAGGUUCCUAGAGAAGUGUCCUUUCUAGGAAGUUGCCAGGUCCUCCCAUGUAAUUUUAUAUGUUGGAAAUGAAAUUGAGCUAUUUUAACAGCAUUUGGUUGUAUUGGCAGUUUCAUGUAACCAUGGGCCAAAGUUUGCCCAUGCCUGAAUCAGGUGAUCUGCCAUGAAUUGUGGAUUCAUAUUUUGGCCCCUAAUUAUUUUUAGAUGGUUCUCACUUUGAAAUAAAUUUGGAAGUAUAUGAAAACAGUCCAUACAUUGGCAAUCAAAAUUUUGGAUGCUUAGUUAGGAUUUACCAUAGAGACUAUGAUACCAGUAAAACCCUUAUUCUACAAUUUUCUUUUCAUCUUGCAUGAGAAGGUUUAUACACUGCUGGCCUUUCAGUGAGGAUCAUUUCAUAGAUAUGCUGUUUUGCGGGAAACCCAAUUGAUUGUUCUUGUUUGGAGAAGAGAGAUAAUUGAUUUCAUGAUUUUAUAUGGGGAUCUUAAUUUGGAAUAAGACAAUUAAGUAUCAGUGGGAAAGGACAGGAAAUAAUGCACUAAAUAGUGGUAUGAUUGCAAAUGUGUGUUUUGGGUUUUUUUUAAAAUGGAAGAACUAGAAUAAAGUGGAGGUACCUGUAGCAUUCCACGCAAGACUUUCAAAUGUAGGACUAAAAAGGAUUCACUAUUGUAUACAAAAGUAAACAUUGUCUACUAGUACCUGUUCAUUCUUUGGCGUUAAUUGGUUUUCAGUUAAUAUGAUGGAGGGCCAAGCUUGUGAUCUUUGUAAGAUUAAUCAGAAACCAUUUUCUUUAUAUUCCAAAGAAAGCAGAUGUGUAGGAAGAAACUGAAGUGCUCUUUAUAAGUUUUAUUUAAUGAUUCAGCAGUUGAGGGUUUUAAAAAUUGAGAUGUACUUUACUCUGUAUCUUGUUAUAAUAUAUAUAUUUUCAAUCUCUGUGGUUUCCUUCUCUUUCUCCACCCCGCUCCAAUGUCGUAAUAUGCAACAUGGGCAGAAUUAAAAAUUUAGAAAAAGCA
RNA transcript from Anolis carolinensis (green anole), 3490 nucleotides. It is a transcript of the gene named ring finger protein 144B, with no coding region annotated. NCBI's taxonomy places the organism in Eukaryota, Metazoa, Chordata, Lepidosauria, Squamata, Anolidae. The record is from RefSeq and is a predicted model, not a curated record. The transcript has 9 exons.